Molecule: ribosomal RNA, 497 nt
Filed under: uncultured bacterium
Lineage: Bacteria
Description: partial 16S ribosomal RNA
Rfam family: Bacterial small subunit ribosomal RNA
Source: RNAcentral
GAUGAACGCUGGCGGCGUGCCUAAUACAUGCCAGUCGAGCGAACAGACGAGGAGCUUGCUCCCCUGACGUUAGCGGCGGACGGGAGAGUAACACGUGGAUAACCUACCUAUAAGACUGGGAUAUCUUCGGGAAACCGGAGCUAAUACCGGAUAACAUGUUGAACCGCAUGGUUCAACAGUGAAAGACGGUCUUGCUGUCACUUAUAGAUGGAUCCGCGCCGCAUGAGCUAGUUGGUAAGUUAACGGCUUAUCACGGCAACGAUGCGUAGCCGACGCGAGAGAGGGAUCGGCCACACGGGAACGUGAACGCGGUCCAUGCGCCUGCGGGAGGCAGCAGUAGGCAAUCUGCCGCAACGGUCGGGAUCCUGACGGAGCAACGCCGCGUGAGUUAAGAAGGUCUUCGGAGCGGAAAGCUCUGUUAUUAGGUAAGAACAAAUUUCUAAGUAACUAUGCACGUCUUGACGGUACCGAAUCAGAAAGCCACGGCUAACUACGUG